Esox lucius (northern pike) is the source of this 1033-nucleotide long non-coding RNA. NCBI's taxonomy places the organism in Eukaryota, Metazoa, Chordata, Actinopteri, Esociformes, Esocidae. The record is from Ensembl.
GUUAUGUGGAAAAGCCUCGUGAUCCUCACAGAAAAUUUUAUUCUUAUUAGUUAUUAUUAGUAUUAAUCAACUUCAGCUUAGUGUGUUCUGAAUCAAUAUUUCACUCUUGGUGCAAACGUUUGAUUGAUACUGUAGGUAUAGAGUGUGUCUAACUAAAAAUCCAUCUUGGUCUUCUGUGUAAGGUGUCACAUCAAACCAGCCUAGGUCACUCAGGCCGCGAAAGAGAACAUGCUAUGGUGAUGCGUUAGGAAAGAGUACCCCCUCUGGAGAAGCAAUGGAAGCAAAGCCCUUAAAGCUACAAAAGGUUGUCCACAGAAGUUACAGUGGCUAGUCGAGCAUUGGUCAGUAACAAUUCCCAUGUAGAAGCUGAUGUUUCGGUUUUAACCUAUCCUCUCGGAUGCCCUUCAGAAGGACACUGUAGGAACAGUGCUGACAACUGCCUCACCUGAAAAUCCACACACCCCUCCCCUGGACUGUACCAGUGGUCCACUUCAGCAGACUCUCUCAGCGGGUGAUACCACUGUAUCGAAGCAAGAGGGCGGGGAGUGAGGAUGAGGAUGGACACGAAGAGGGAGAGCAUGAAGACGCCUCAGAACUGGUCUGUGGCCUGAUCAGAGAACUCUCCUCUCUAAACCGGCUCGUGAUGGCUACGGAUCGGGAGCUGGAGACUUUUCGCCGUGGAAAGAAGACCGCAAGGACCCCGACACAUCGUGUGUUCCCCCCACGACGGACUGAGAUCUAGGAUGCCCCAUUUUAGACGUGGCUUUAAUCGUCACAACGUCCCCGAAGGCUAACAAAGCCCGCACACAGUGGAAGUUAAUUUGAGACUUAUAGAUGAAAAUCAGUUUAUUAAAAACAGCGAUCCUUAUUGUCAACACAUUGAAACGCAACUUUCAUUUCUGUUAAGGGAUAUGGACGUAACCUUGUAAUUAUGCCAGUUUUACCGAUGCAUUUCUGUUGCCGUUUUAUUCCCUUGUUCCCCUAAUGCCGAGGACUUGUUAUAGUGACAUGUGAACUUUCUAAUAAAUCAAGC